This 497-nucleotide ribosomal RNA is filed under the name uncultured bacterium. Its description in RNAcentral is "partial 16S ribosomal RNA". It matches the Rfam family "Bacterial small subunit ribosomal RNA", at positions 28 to 507 of the family's 1533-position model. The record is from RNAcentral.
GAUGAACGCUGGCGGCGUGCCUAAUACAUGCAAGUCGAGCGAACAGACGAGGAGCUUGCUCCUCUGACGUUAGCGGCGGACGGGUGAGUAACACGUGGAUAACCUACCUAUAAGACUGGGAUAACUUCGGGAAACCGGAGCUAAUACCGGAUAACAUGUUGAACCGCAUGGUUCAACAGUGAAAGACGGUCUUGCUGUCACUUAUAGAUGGAUCCGCGCCGCAUUAGCUAGUUGGUAAGGUAACGGCUUACCAAGGCAACGAUGCGUAGCCGACCUGAGAGGGGGAACGGCCACACUGGAACUGAGGCACGGUCCAGACUCCUACGGGAGGCAGCAGUAGGGAAUCUUCCGCAAUGGGCGAGAGCCUGACGGAGCAACGCCGCGUGAGUGAAGAAGGUCUUCGGAUCGUAAAACUCUGUUAUUAGGGAAGAACAAAUGUGUAAGUAACUAUGCACGUCUUGACGGUACCUAAUCAGGAAGCCACGGCUAACUACGUG